Molecule: transfer RNA, 73 nt
Filed under: Marmota marmota marmota (Alpine marmot)
Lineage: Eukaryota; Metazoa; Chordata; Mammalia; Rodentia; Sciuridae
Also listed under: 1 other name
Rfam family: tRNA
About the family: Transfer RNA (tRNA) molecules are approximately 80 nucleotides in length.
Source: Rfam by way of RNAcentral
AGGGAUAUAGCUCAGUUGGUAGAGUGUUUGUCUGCCACACAUAGGGCCCUGAGUUCAAUCCACAGCACCCCCC